Non-coding RNA from Capsicum annuum, 119 nucleotides. The record is from Rfam. NCBI's taxonomy places the organism in Eukaryota, Viridiplantae, Streptophyta, Magnoliopsida, Solanales, Solanaceae.
GGAUGCGAUCAUACCAGCACUAACGCACCGGAUUCCAUCAGAACUCCGAAGUUAAGCGUGCUUGGGCGAGAGUAGUACUAGGAUGGUUGACCCCUUGGGAAGUCCUCGUGUUGCANNNN